GGUGUCGUAGCCAAGUGGUCUAAGGCGUCGGUCUGCAAAACCGAUACUCACGGGUUCGAAUCCCGUCGACACCUCCA
RNAcentral lists this transfer RNA (77 nucleotides) under Candidatus Dojkabacteria bacterium. RNAcentral describes it as "tRNA-Cys". It matches the Rfam family "tRNA". Rfam says of the family: Transfer RNA (tRNA) molecules are approximately 80 nucleotides in length. The record is from RNAcentral.